Molecule: ribosomal RNA, 432 nt
Filed under: Triticum aestivum (bread wheat)
Lineage: Eukaryota; Viridiplantae; Streptophyta; Magnoliopsida; Poales; Poaceae
Description: partial small subunit ribosomal RNA
Source: RNAcentral
AUCCCUUUCCCCUCGCACCCCACACGCUCUCCCUCCCGAGCUCAGCCGCUCGCUGCCGUCACCGUGUCGACGUCGAUGCCGCGCAAGCUUCCCCAUGGCGCCAGAAGAUGUCCAGGAGACGGGCCUCUUCGUAUUCGUUCUCUACGUGAACCUACUCGAGCUGGAGCACCCUGGAGCCGCCGCCAUCGACCCAUCCCCUUCGGCCAUGGACUCCCGCGCCGCCGUUCGAUCCGUUCGCCUCCGACCACCUCGUGCCACCCCGAGCUCGUCAAUGCGUUCACUACCCCGAGACCGCUGCCGGUACCCCUGUGAUCGACUACAUCGACGACGAACCCUUCUCUUGCCAGAUGAACCAGGCAAGCCCCCCCCCUUGAUCACCAGAUAUCGCCUAUUCUUCUCUAUACUGCUUGCAUUAGAGUAGUGUAGCAUGUU